GAUGAACGCUGGCGGCGUGCCUAAUACAUGCAAGUCGAGCGAACAGACGAGGAGCUUGCUCCUCUGACGUUAGCGGCGGACGGGUGAGUAACACGUGGAUAACCUACCUAUAAGACUGGGAUAACUUCGGGAAACCGGAGCUAAUACCGGAUAAUAUAUUGAACCGCAUGGUUCAAUAGUGAAAGACGGUUUUGCUGUCACUUAUAGAUGGAUCCGCGCCGCAUUAGCUAGUUGGUAAGGUAACGGCUUACCAAGGCGACGAUGCGUAGCCGACCUGAGAGGGUGAUCGGCCAAACUGGAACUGAGACACGGUCCAGAAUCCUACGGGAGGCAGCAGUAGGGAAUCUUCCGCAAUGGGCGAAAGCCUGACGGAGCAACGCCGCGUGAGUGAUGAAGGUCUUCGGAUCGUAAAACUCUGUUAUUAGGGAAGAACAAAUGUGUAAGUAACUAUGCACGUCUUGACGGUACCUAAUCAGAAAGCCACGGCUAACUACGUG
This 497-nucleotide ribosomal RNA is filed under the name uncultured bacterium. RNAcentral's name for it is "partial 16S ribosomal RNA". It matches the Rfam family "Bacterial small subunit ribosomal RNA", at positions 28 to 507 of the family's 1533-position model. The record is from RNAcentral.